RNAcentral lists this long non-coding RNA (969 nucleotides) under Marmota monax (woodchuck). The record is from RNAcentral. Lineage: Eukaryota; Metazoa; Chordata; Mammalia; Rodentia; Sciuridae.
GGAGACUAGGGUCACCCCAGGGCACUUCUCUUGAAAGAAGGUCCCAGAAGACUGGAGGGAACCCCAACCUCAGACAUUUGCAAGCAGGAAUUCAAGUGGUCAUCCAUCCAAGAGAGAGUCGUAGAUCUUAAGUGGAACAGGAAUUCUAACUGGACAGACCUCUUAUGAGAAUCUGGAGCUUUUGAAUUCACCCAUGCUUGGUCCUCCCCUCCCCCAACCAUCCCUGUUUAUUUAAUCGAAUUAACCAGCAAAAGUGGCUGAUAAAAGGACGCAAGGUUUUUCUCUAGCAAAGAAAGGUUCUAGGAGAUGGACAGACAGUGGCCCAUCCUGUGGGCAGGGCACAACAAGCAGCUCUUUGAGAUGGAGGCGUAUGUGUAGGGCUAAAGUCCCACUGCAGAGUUGGCCUCACCUGAAGAGUGACUCUUAUGGUUUGGAUGUGAGGUGUCCCCCUAAAGCUCAGGUAUGAGACAAUGCUGGAAGAUUUAGAAGAGAAAUGAUUGGGUUAUGAGAGUCUUAACCCAGUCAGUGAUUUCACCCCCUGAUGGGGUUAACCGAGUGGUAACUGAAGGUGGGCAGGGUGUGGCUGGGGGAGGUGGGACCCUAGGAUGUGCCUUUGGGGUAUAUAUUUUGUACCUUGAGAGUGGAGUCUCUUUCUGCCUCCUGAUCAUCAUGUGAGCUGCUUUUCUCCGCCACAUUCUUCCUCAUGAUGUUCUCCCUCCCCUCGAACCCUAAGGAAUGGAGCCAGUGUCUAUGAACCUCUGAAACUGUGAGCCUUCAAACAAACUUGUCUCCCUCUACAAUUGUUCUGGUCAGAUCUUUUAAUAACAGCAGCGACUGGGUAAGCUAUGAUAGGGCUUCCCUCCCAGCACAAACUGACCCGGACACUCUUCUCAACAGACCCACAGUCCCCAAAGCCCAUCUAACCAACCAACACAGCUGUGUGUGCUCAUCACUGGGACAGCCCUGAGC